RNAcentral lists this non-coding RNA (30 nucleotides) under Rattus norvegicus (Norway rat). The record is from RNAcentral. Lineage: Eukaryota; Metazoa; Chordata; Mammalia; Rodentia; Muridae.
UGUCCCUGUGCCGCAGCCGAUGCUGCCUCU